GCUGUUCUCAGUUCGGACUGCAGUCUGCAACUCGACUGCACGAAGCUGGAAUCGCUAGUAAUCGCGGAUCAGCACGCCGCGGUGAAUACGUUCCCGGGCCUUGUACACACCGCCCGUCACACCAUGGAAGUCUGCAAUGCCCGAAGCCGGUGGCCUAACCACUUAUGUGGAAGGAGCCGUCUAAGGCAGGGCAGAUGACUGGGGUGAAGUCGUAACAAGGUAAC
RNAcentral lists this ribosomal RNA (224 nucleotides) under uncultured bacterium. RNAcentral describes it as "partial 16S ribosomal RNA". It matches the Rfam family "Bacterial small subunit ribosomal RNA", at positions 1281 to 1500 of the family's 1533-position model. The record is from RNAcentral.